Long non-coding RNA from Micropterus dolomieu (smallmouth bass), 476 nucleotides. RefSeq lists it as uncharacterized. The transcript has 4 exons. NCBI's taxonomy places the organism in Eukaryota, Metazoa, Chordata, Actinopteri, Centrarchiformes, Centrarchidae. The record is from RefSeq and is a predicted model, not a curated record.
UUGAAGUUCUAAAUUUAGAACUUUUAAGUGUAGACAACGGCGAAUUAUUAACGAGAAAGGUCUUCUUCAGAGAUAUCCAUCUACUUACUUUGGAGUGACUAAUUUAAGAAAAGUUUGCAGUAAUGCCACAUUUUCGUUAGCGUCUCAAAAUACGACUACACGUGCCUCCAUCUUGAGUCGGCCCCUCCUUCUGCCGCCGCCUGCGGGUUUUUGUCUCUGAUCAGUGGACUGAGAGAAAGCGGUUUGCCUCGCGCCCCACGCAGCUCCUCCAGCUCUCGCUGUGCAGCCGUCUCUGUGAGCGUCUCCCUCUUAUUGGCAGCAGCUGCAGCAGAGAACUGUGAGGCCGAGACAGCCACACCCUCUGCCCCCCCGGCCUGUUACUGCGUCACACAGAAACCAGUCAAAGCUGUGGUGUUAUUGAAGCAGGUGGAGCAGGUGCAGAGAAUUCCAAUUCCAGCGGUGUCAGUGACCGCAGG